AUACGAAGGUCCCGAGCGUUAUUCGGAAUCACGGGGCGUAAAGAGUAUGUAGGCGGUUUGGUAAGUCAGGUGUGAAAUCCCGGAGCUCAACCUCGGAACUGCAUCCGAUACUGCCAGACUAGAGUAAUGGAGAGGCAGGUGGAAUUCUCGGUGUAGCAGUGAAAUGCGUGGAUAUCGAGAGGAAGACCAAUGGCGAAGGCAGCCUGCUGGACAUUUACUGACGCUGAGAUACGAAGGCUAGCGGAGCGAAAGGGAUUAGAAACCCUAGUAGUCC
RNAcentral lists this ribosomal RNA (274 nucleotides) under uncultured bacterium. Its description in RNAcentral is "partial 16S ribosomal RNA". It matches the Rfam family "Bacterial small subunit ribosomal RNA", at positions 523 to 796 of the family's 1533-position model. The record is from RNAcentral.